Arabidopsis lyrata subsp. lyrata is the source of this 263-nucleotide long non-coding RNA. RefSeq lists it as uncharacterized. The record is from RefSeq and is a predicted model, not a curated record. Lineage: Eukaryota; Viridiplantae; Streptophyta; Magnoliopsida; Brassicales; Brassicaceae. The transcript is spliced from 3 exons.
UCUACUUGUCAUUCUUUUCAAAUUGAACCUGAGAGGCCUUAUUUGGUCGAAGAGUAUGAAGAGGCACAUAGCAGCGAAAUGGAGUGGGAGCUGCCGGAGGCGAGAGAUACUCCCUCCACUCAGGUUGAAAGACUUGAAGAGAAUCAGGUUACGAGUGUCCCUCCUCUGAGUGUUCAAGCAACAGAGGACUACGAAACUAUGGAGCCGGAGCGACCGGAGGUGACAGAUACUCCCUCCACUCAGUUUGAGGACUACGAAACUAC